CGGAUACCAGUCGCGGACGGGUGAGUAAUACAUAGGCAACCUGCCUUUAUGAGGGGGAUAACCGAGGGAAACUUUGGCUAAUACCGCAUGAAGACUCUAAGGCAUCUUAGAGGGAUAAAAGUUGGGAAACAACGCAUGAAGAUGGGCUUAUGGCGCAUUAGCUAGUUGGUGAGAUAGAAGCCCACCAAGGUAAUGAUGCGUAGCCGACCUGAGAGGGUGAACGGCCACAUUGGGACUGAGACACGGCCCAAACUCCUACGGGAGGCAGCAGUAGGGAAUUUUCGGCAAUGGGGGGAACCCUGACCGAGCAACGCCGCGUGAAGGAAGAAGGUUUUCGGAUUGUAAACUUCUGUUAUAAGGGAAGAACGGAUUGGAUAGGGAAUGAUCUGAUAGUGACGGUACCUUAUUAGAAAGCCACGGCUAACUACGUGCCAGCCGCCGC
RNAcentral lists this ribosomal RNA (442 nucleotides) under uncultured bacterium. RNAcentral describes it as "bacterial SSU rRNA". It matches the Rfam family "Bacterial small subunit ribosomal RNA", at positions 86 to 518 of the family's 1533-position model. The record is from RNAcentral.